ACACCCCCUUAAAAGCAAAACCAGCAAUCCAAAAGGGCGAGCAACAAUGUUCAGCCAGCUCCACUUCCAAUCCCCAGCCCUGCAUCUUCUUCCCAUUCCCAACUCUAAACCUCCUUGCAAUUUUCGCCCAUUUCCCCCAAAAAUUACACCCAAAAUCCAAGCUCCCAACUUCAUCACCAGAGCUAAAACAAACAGAAACCUUAAACCCCAAGAGAAACCCCAGCAAGUCGAAGCCGAGCUCUUAACCGAAGAAGAGGAGGGCGAUAAAGAAAGAGAAGAGGGCGGGGAGGAGUUUUCUUAUUCGAGUGCGUACAGAGGACGCGAGGACGAGAAGCAGUACGAUAGGGAUCCAGAGUUCGCUGAGAUUCUCGGGAGCUGUCUCGAUGAUCCCCAAAAGGCCCAAUCUAAAAUUGAGGAGAGGAUAAGGAGGAAGAGGAAUAAUAUAUUGCAUACCAAGACUGGGUCUGCGACGCCAGUUAAAGUUAUCUUCAACAAGUUUGACUUUUCAAACUCCUAUAUAUGGUUUGAAUUCUACAAUGCGCCAUUACCAAAAGAUGUAACCUUAAUUUGUGAUACCAUUCGAUCUUGGCAUAUCAUUGGACGACUUGGUGGCUGCAAUUCUAUGAAUAUGCAGCUGUCACAGUUACCUUUGGACUCCAAAAGACCAAAAUAUGAUGCUAUUCAAGGAGCAAAUGUCACACCAACUACGUUUUAUAAUAUCGGUGACCUUGAGAUUCAAGACAACUUAGCGCGCGUUUGGGUGGAUAUUGGAACUAGUGAACCGUUGCUUCUAGACGUAUUAGUAAAUGCCUUGACCUGCAUAAGCUCUGACCCGUUCACGCAACAGCUAUGUAGGGAUCAAGCAGUUGGUUUUUGGCGGCUCAGAGUUUGAGAACUGGAAGGAGAACUUGACCUCAGAGGAUGCUGGUUACAGCAGCCACAAGAUCUAGCUUAUUUCCGUCGAAAGUCCCAUCCUGGUCCUAAGAGCAGCUUGAGAUUACAGGCUGAUGCACUCGCGAUCUGAGAGGAGAGCCUUCAUAUAUUGACGCCGCGAAACACUGGGGAGAGAGUUCAAGUUUUUGGCAGAAAAUAGUGGUGCUGGGAUUGCUGUUUUUGUGCUAGCUAUCCGUAUUCAUUCUCCUGCAGUUUCGAGGCCUUCAUGAUUUUCGGCCUGAAAGGGGAUUCAACAGUUGUGUAUUGGUUUCAUAUAGGCACGGAGCCCUCUAUUGAGCUAUAGAGCUUAGUCACGAGCUCUUAAUGAUCAUGUUGCUUAAUCUUAAUCAGAAAUGUAACACUUUCUCAAUCUUCAUCAUGAGUUUGACAUCUAGAUAUACAGCGUGCUUUUAUGGUCUUACUGGACUUUAUGAAAUGGUUUCAGUUAAGUA
Molecule: RNA transcript, 1385 nt
Organism: Asparagus officinalis (garden asparagus)
Lineage: Eukaryota; Viridiplantae; Streptophyta; Magnoliopsida; Asparagales; Asparagaceae
Exons: 8
Source: RefSeq, a predicted model, not a curated record